ACGAGCUCUCCAAACGUUAUUCGGUAUCACUGGGCUUAAAGAGUUCGUAGGCGGCCUAGCAGGUCAGGUGUGAAAUCCCACAGCUCAACUGUGGAAUAGCGCUUGAAACCGCUGGGCUUGAGGGAGAUAGAGGUAAGCGGAACAGAUGGUGGAGCGGUGAAAUGCGUUGAUAUCAUCUGGAACACCGGUGGCGAAAGCGGCUUACUGGGUCUCUUCUGACGCUGAGGAACGAAAGCUAGGGUAGCGAACGGGAUUAGAUACCCCGGUAGUCCUAGCCGUAAACGAUGAGCACUAGUCCGUGGGAACCCUCACAUUCUCUCGGACGUAGCGAAAGUGUUAAGUGCUCCGCCUGGGGAGUAUGGUCGCAAGGCUG
RNAcentral lists this ribosomal RNA (373 nucleotides) under uncultured bacterium. RNAcentral's name for it is "bacterial SSU rRNA". It matches the Rfam family "Bacterial small subunit ribosomal RNA", at positions 525 to 896 of the family's 1533-position model. The record is from RNAcentral.